RNAcentral lists this long non-coding RNA (832 nucleotides) under Homo sapiens (human). RNAcentral's name for it is "HSALNT0109238". The record is from RNAcentral. Lineage: Eukaryota; Metazoa; Chordata; Mammalia; Primates; Hominidae.
UUUUAAUUGAAACAUCUAGAACAUGAGCUUUCUGUCAAGGAAAGAUAGAAAUAUUCCAGGUGCAUAUUUCCUUGUUUGAAAGAUACGGAAUGCUCUAUAAAUUGUCUUCAGUAAAUAUCUUUAAUUUUAUGUAAACAUAUACACCUUUUUAACAAAUAUACCUGGAGUUUUUAUUGACGCUAUCUUGCAGUCUUAUGCCAUUAUUAUUUUGUUCACCCAUCCAGUUGGACUACCUUUCACAUGUAUCAUGAUUUUCAUAAAUCUAAAUAUCUCCUGUAACAUAACUGUCUUUUAAGGAGUGAAUGAGUGGAUUUUUUGAUGGCACCAUAACACAGAAAGCAAAUAUGGAUGGAAAAAUCUAAAGACUAAAAAUGAAUUUACCUCCAUCUUCUGAUCCAUUUAUCUCCAGCAACAUUAGCAUAGCAUAGGUAAUACGUGGACUGGGCAUUUGAGAACCACUGUUGUAGCUAUUUCCUACUCAUCCUUCAGUUGUUAUUCCCUCAGAGGAGACUUUCUGGUUCUCCAGACUGGAUUCUGUCCCGCUGGUUACACACUUCAAUGGAACCCUCCACUUUUCCAUGGUAAUGCUUUUCACAAUUGAAAUUAAAUACUUGCUAUAUGUAAUUAUUUGUUUAAUGUGUGUCUCCUUCACUAGGCCCUGGACUUCAUGAAGGGCAAAAAUAGUGUCUGGUUUAUUCACUUUUUUAUCCCAGCACAAGGGCACCUGGCACACGUAGUUGUUCAAUAAAUAUUGAAAUAAUGCAUAAAAGGAAGCAAUCAUGUAUGUAAAGUACCUGGUACAUUUAAUAGUAGCAAUAACAUUUCUCAAAAU